GAUGAAGAACGUAGCGAAAUGCGAUAAGUAAUGUGAAUUGCAGAAUUCAGUGAAUCAUCGGAUCUUUGAACGCACAUUGCGCCCCUUGGUAUUCCGAGGGGCAUGCCUGUUCGAGCGUCAUUAUAACCCUUCAAGCUCAGCUUGGUGUUGGGGCCUGCUGUAACUGGUAGCCCUUAAAAUCAGUGGCAGUGCUAUUAGGCUCUAAGCGUAGUAAUUCUUCUCGCUAUAGUGUGUAGUGAGCGCUUGCCAGAACCCCAAACUUUUAUAUGAUUGACCUCGGAUCAGGUAGGGAUACCCGCUGAACUUAAGCAUAUCAAUAAGCGGAGGA
This 328-nucleotide unclassified non-coding RNA is filed under the name soil metagenome. Its description in RNAcentral is "partial contains 5.8S ribosomal RNA, internal transcribed spacer 2, and large subunit ribosomal RNA". The stretch from base 1 to 120 matches the Rfam family "5.8S ribosomal RNA", at positions 35 to 154 of the family's 154-position model. The record is from RNAcentral.